GUUUCUGCACAGUAAGAAAGGAGUCAGCUGGCUCCCUCUUUUCAGAGACCCCCACCCCCACCCCCUUUACCCGUUUGGUUUUGCUGCCGUGGGCCUUCUCCUGUGUCUGGAGUUCAUUUCAGAGAUGGACCGAUGACUGUAGACUCUCUGUGAUCUGACCCCUGCCCUAAGUCACCCAAGGCCAGGUGCCAAGGAACCAGCAUUUGCCAAGAUGAUCCACACUAGCCAUCCUUCUCCGUUCACCCUACCCUGCCUUUGCAGCAGAAAUUCCACUAAAGAGUUGUUGACUCCAGGAUGUCGCUCACCAUUGUGUCCACCUGCAGAACAGCAACCUUAUCAGCUUGGAGAGGACUUGGGCUUUGCAGAUCCCCCUCCGUGGCCCAGGGCUACCUCCUCAUUUCUGGACAGCAUUUUCAUGCGCUCAGUCAGGCAGAGGGUAAGUAACCCCAUCUACCAGGAAGAGAUCAUGUAUCACCUUCAGUCAAGAUGCUAUGGAUGGGAGCCCAAGGCUUGACAGUGGUAGGUAACUCAGGUAGGUCUAUGACAAAAGGAGGCAAGCAGAAGCAGUUGUUCACUGUGACUGUCAAGUUGGGAAGGGGCUAGAGCUGUGGUGAGAGGCCAGGUCCUUAGCAUUUGUACUUUCAAAUUCUGGCAGACUCUGUCCUGUACAUAGAAUAUAGUGGGAACAUGCAUCCAUAUGCUGGAGGUAUCUUCAUACCUCAAAAAAAAGAAAAAAAAAAAGGAAAGAAAGACUUAUCCAGGCUUGAGAGCAUCAUAUUUGGGGACCUCCCAGGGGGAGAUUAAGUUUUGUGACCUUUUUGUAGAGCACCCCAGGCCCUGGCCUAGCUCAGUCACCCUCCAAGGGUCAGGGAGACUUACCCAGAGGUGGGAGCACUGCACAGCAGAUUUGACCUUCUCUACCAAAGUAGUCACUUCCGUCUGGUAUUCCAUAUCUGCUAUGGAAGUUUCUCUUUUCCUCACUGGACAGAGUGGAGAAGGAAGGCCUAGUCAGUGUGCAAGAGUGGCUACCUGGUGGCUCUAUAGACACUCAAACUUCAAAGAAGACACCCAGGAUGUUGGGUACCCUUACGUGGUACCUGUACCUGCUCUCCUCAGCCUGACCCUUCAGAGUACCUUGGGAAACUCAAGGACAGACAAGGACCAGGAGCAGCAUGACGUCAUGUGGCUCUGGGAAGCAGUUCUGAGAUGUCACUGGGUGACCGAGCUCUAGUUACUAGAGAUAGCAUCUCUGCAGCCACCUUGUGCCAUAGGCUCUCAGAUUCUUCAGGGACAGUCAGGGAGAGGCAGGGGCCGUCUGUCUUCCUCACCCUAGUGAUCACUGGCCUCAUGGUGACCUGACUGAGCAGUCCCAGUCAUUGCUGGCUCCUGGAGACCUUAGCUGGACAAGACGAGGAGCUGAGACUCACCCUUCAAGUUCUCCAUACUCAUCAGAUUGGAGGAGAAAUCCAAGUCCCUCCGGCCCUGAUGGGAGAGAGAACCAGCUGGCGGAUAAUCUGAUGGCAGUGGUGGAGUUGGAUCACUGAAAAGGCUUGGUGACAAGACCCAUCUCCCGGAAACCUCAGAUCAGAAUCUCCACAUCUUCUGGCGUAGAACAACCCUUUCGGAGUCUUGCUCGCUGAGUCCCGCCGCUCCCGGAAGUUCUGGCGCACAGUCGGAGCCCCGCCCCCGCCCGGUACCCGGGCACCUGCAGCAGCUUUAGUUCAUCCUUAGUGGCAUCAG
Molecule: non-coding RNA, 1740 nt
Organism: Cricetulus griseus (Chinese hamster)
Lineage: Eukaryota; Metazoa; Chordata; Mammalia; Rodentia; Cricetidae
Source: RefSeq, a predicted model, not a curated record